This 4599-nucleotide long non-coding RNA is filed under the name Nicotiana benthamiana. Its description in RNAcentral is "long non-coding RNA (NBEN_LNC040627)". Lineage: Eukaryota; Viridiplantae; Streptophyta; Magnoliopsida; Solanales; Solanaceae. The record is from RNAcentral.
CGAAUGACCACCUGAAGUACUUGCCUCAAUACCUGCACAAUUAGUGCAGAAGUGUAGUAUCAGUACGUAAAUCAAUGCGUAACCAGAAAUUAUCUAGUCUAACCACGAAGAAGUAAUAACGAUGGGUCGAUAUCGACACUUACUAAUAAAAGAAGAAGACACUUAAAAGAAAAGAAGAAGAUUUUUUGAAAGAAUAUCAGAGUUCGAGUAAGGGCUUGAGAUUAUCUCGAGGGGAAGGUGUUAGGCACCCCUCAAGAUCCACUAGUGUGGUUCCUGACCAUACUUUAAUUGUGACUUUAAAAGAAGGGGAAGAAAACAAGUAAAGCUUUGCACAUAAGAAUCACGAAUAAGUUUUAAGCUUUUGAAAAGGGUAAAGAAGAUAGAAAAGGGGCAGUUUUAGAAAAGCAGUUAAUUUAAAGAACAAAAUUAGAGCAGACAGGACAUACGUGGUUUUGGAAAAAGAUUAAUUGAAGAAAAUAUUAAUUCUUAAGAAAACAUCACAUCAUAUAAAUAAAGAAAAGUGGUCCUAGGUUUAAAUAUAAUAUGGAUCACUUUGGUGCAAUACCCAGCAAUCAUUCUCACAUGAGAUAUCAGCGCACCAGUCAUCAUAUCCAUAUUCUAUCAUUCCCACCACGUUAAGGUAUCAAACGCAAUUAGUAUCAUGUACUUAUUGCAUGCUAAUACCCAUUCCAACAUGUCAUCCAUGGGGUUCAAGUUUUCUAAUUCUAAAAAGGGGGAAAGGAAGCAUAGGCAUAUAUGGAGUUUCAAAGGAUAAAAGACUAAGGCGACAAGCAAAAACAAGUAGCAAAUAUUGAGGGACAAAACACACACGAAAAGAUCAUAUAAACCUCAUAAAUCACAUAGCAAUUAGUGUAGCAUACCUUGCAGAUACUGAUUUGGUUUUUUACAAUUAAACGGUGGACAAAUUAGUUUAGCACAUAAAAUUAGGUAAAAAGUCUGCAUUAGGCAACCUAGAUCCAAUUGUCAGAAGUCGGGGUAUUUUAUAUAAGUUACUGAUAAAGAACCUAAUGCAAAAGAAUUUGACACAGAAGGUUGGAAAAUCACAGAAGUUCAAAGGGGUUUUUUAAAAAUCAGCAGAAUUGUUUCAGUAGAAGUACAACAUAAUUGUAAAGUAGAGUUUUCAGAAGUAAGAAUGCUUAAAAUGAGUUUGAAACAUGUUUCAAAAGAGAGCUUCAUGAGACGAAUAAAAAAUCCAGGCAAGGAGUUAAAAAAAAGCAUUUCAGGAAAAGAAAAAUGCAAGUUUAGAUAAAUUGCAGACAAGUUUGGACAAGCUUUGUUUGAAAACAUUGAAGCCAAUGGCCAAAUUAUUACUUACGCAGAUUUAGGCGAGUCUGAAAACCUAUAGGUAGGAUAUCUAUACCAUAAUUUUUUAAGACUUGUUAAUGUUAUUAAACGUUAAGAAAAAAAUAUUUUCAUUACCCUACAGUUUGCCUAACGUUUCAAUGCAUUUCCUAUAGGCAUGAUUUCUAUUUGCAAUUAGGUUAUUAGUAGGUCCUAUAGGCAGGAUUUCUAAUAAUUUGCAACAUGGCUGAACAUUAAAUCCAGUAGACAUGAUUUCUAAAUGCUCGAAUGAAAGGAAUGCAAAAUCCUAUAGACAUGAUCUCUAGGUGAUUUAAAGCAUUUAACAUAUAGGCAUGAUAUAUAAGUGAUUAAGUAACAACAAACCUAAAGGCAUGGUAUCUACCCUUUAGCAUAUGCAAUUAAUAUAAACCCCUCCCAUACCCUUUUACUAAUAUUUUCCCGAGUUCUUUUUACAAGGUUAUUACAAAAUUAGAAGAAAGAAGGUAAUCAAAAUAGCUAGAUCCUAGAAGCCUAAUUCAAACUUAAUAUCUAAUACAUGUAUUUUCACCAAAUCCGGAUUCCAGAUUCCAAGGCCUUCUCUUAUUUAGAGUGUUUCAAAGUUCCAAGGAGCCUCCAGGACCCCAGGCUAUGCUUAUACUCUGAAUAAUACAUAUUUUAAAUGAAUAGCGCAAGUGUGGAAUUACCAGCCCUUAGGCAUCCAAGUUUAGAGGGAACUCGAGGGUCCUAAAGCAUGGAUUACCAAAGGGGGGGGAGGGUAGAACUUAGGAACUAGGAAUGAGUGCAAAGUGAGGGAGGAAGCAUAGCGGAGGGUGGUCAUACCCAGCCAUGGAAUAGGCUGGCACACCCCUGACUUGGGCCCAGGCAAUGCUUACACUCUAAAGAGUAAAUAUGGUAACAGAAUAGUACAAGUGUGGAAUUACCAGCCCUUAGGCAUCCGCGUUCAGAGGGAAUUCCAAGGUCCCUAGGCAUGGCUUACCAAAGGGGGGUAGAACUUAAGAACUAGGAAUGAGUGAAAAGUGAGAGGGAAACCAUUGCAGAGGGUGGUCAUACCCAGCCAUGGCAUAGGCUGGCACACCCCUGACCCUUUGCUUAGGUCAAAUAAACAGGAGCAGACUUUGGGGAGUCAAAUUUAGGGUCCGAGUGGUGAUUAGGACACUACCAGACCCAAGUUAAAGCUCAGCACAUAAAGGGGAUAGGGAAUGGGAAAGAAUUUGAGUAGAGACUCAGGAAAGUCUAAUUCUAGAUCAUGGACAGCAAUAUCAGAUGCUGCCAUGAUUCAGAACAGUACUAUCACACAAAAAGGAAUGCGGGGAAGGUAUUUCCAUACGAAAGCAUAUGAUGACAUUAAAAAUGUAAGAAAGCAUAGCAAACUGCAGAUGCAAGGGCAUAGAAGAACAUGCUACAGAACAUAAACACACAGUGAAGAAUGGGUAAAAGAAGAGAAGUUAAUACACAUAGUAGGAGAGUGUUGUUUAACUUAGAACUACAUACCAGUUUUCAGUUCUAGUACAACAGAGAAACAACAGCAAGUAGACAGCCGGACAGUUAGCAGGAACAAUUCAAAAACAUCAGCAAGUACUUUGGGAAUUUAGAGGAACUCCAGAAAUAUUCAGAUAGUAGGAGAUAAGGGAGUAGAGUGCUCAGUAGGGAGACAGUAGUAAUAGAGAGAGUAGUAGUAGUAAAGAGAGUAGUAGACAGUAAAGACAAAGAUGAUUGUGUAUUGCAAAGGUGCAGAAAAGAGUUCUAAGAACUGUGUUGUGUGUUGUUGUUGAAAAGGUUGUCCCUUUUUGCAAUGCAAAAACGAGUAAGCAAGAAGGCAAGGAAAUAAAAUUUCAGUCAAUCAAACAAAAUUUCCCUUAGUCAAGGGGAUUUGAUUUCAAGAGGGAAUGAGUAAUUAAUGAAAGGAGAAUAUUGAAACCUUUUCAGAGUAGCAAAAUAAGGGUAAGUGCAUACAGAGUCUAUUUAAAGUAAGAAACCUAUAGUACACGAUUUUAAAGAAUAAGAAAAAUACAGUAAUCAAACAACCAGAAAUUCAAAAACCUUGAAUGAAUUUAGUCAAAAGAAUCGGGAAGAGACUAAGUUGUAAAAAUUAGUAGCAAAUCAAUCGAGCCUUAGUAAAAGAAGACUGAAAUCAAUCACAAGCUAACAGUAUCAAUUCAAAAAGAACAAAACACUCGUAUAUAAGCAUGCUAGUAUCCGGCAAGAAAGAAAGAUUGGCAUAAACAGUUUUAGAAUCAUAAGCAGAAGAAAAGUAAGUUUCAAUUCAGUCUAUGAACUCAACAUGAGUUCGAGAGCCUAGGUUUCUAGAGUAGAACCCUAGAACCAAAAGCUCGCCAAAACCCCCAAAUAGGGUUUCAAUCCGAGUAUGACACAAAAAAAAGGCCAACUCAACAAGCCUGGGGAACUCUUUCAGAGUUCCCUGAGGAAUUACACAGACACACGUAGCAAUCAAAAGAAGUAGAGUGAAAGCUUGUAAAAAACAAGUUUUAGGAAAACUAAAACUCAAACCAGUUCAAAGAAGAGAUGCCAUAGGAGUUUAGGAAACAGUGAAAGAAGCAAGUUCGAUAACCCGAAUAGAUUCAGUAAAAAUGAAAUCCUUCAGUAGGAGGAAUAGUGAAAAGGACAGGCAAGACAGGUGUGCAAACAUGCUUAUAGAAAUAAUCAGUAGAAGCAGUAAUAGAACAAAGGCAGAUGAACAUGCACAUUUAACGGAAAAUCAUAAGGACGCAACGAAAACCCCUUAAAGCAUGGUAUGAACACACAGAUUCACAGAAAGAAAGAAGAAGAAUAAUCAUAUUAGGAUUUUUGAAAACCCUAAUUUCAAAAGACUAAUUUUGAAAAGGAAAAUUUAGGGAAGUCGUUAAGACAUAGAGUACGGCACAAAUCUGCUAUAGAUCUACAAAAACAAGAAAAUAAAAACCUCGAAUCAAGCUUUUUAGGGGUUUCUCAGAAACCCUAGAGACAAGAAGGUCUGGAACGAUCUGGUUUAGAGUAGAACUGAUCCAUGGCUACGCUCAUAUGAGCUUGGACACGCCGGAACGGAGCUGGAGGAGCCGCGGGAAUUCAGGUCGGCGGAGGACCUGAACAAGUUUGUUGAAGAUUGAUCCUUGAAAUCCUCGAAUAAUCAUGGCUUGGGGUGAAAGGGGAGAGAAUAUAGGUUGUCCAUGGCCUGGGAAGCCAUGGACACCGGUGGGUUUGGUCGGAGACGAUGAUUGGCAGCUAGUGCUUCGAGUGGCCUAGAGAGCAUUUGAGAGAAGAAGGGAUUUGGGGGCGGUG